Molecule: ribosomal RNA, 382 nt
Filed under: uncultured archaeon
Lineage: Archaea
Description: bacterial SSU rRNA
Rfam family: Archaeal small subunit ribosomal RNA
Source: RNAcentral
AAACUUUACAAUGCUGGAAACAGCGAUAAGGGAACCUCGAGUGCCGAGAUACAAUUUCGGCUGUCGUUGUGUCUAAAAAACACGAUAUAGCAAGGGCCGGGCAAGACCGGUGCCAGCCGCCGCGGUAACACCGGCGGCUCGAGUGGUAACCGCUAUUAUUGGGUCUAAAGGGUCUGUAGCCGGUCUGGUUAGUCUCUUGGGAAAUCCGGCAGCUCAACUGUCGGGCUUUCAGGGGAUACUGCUAGACUCGAGACCGGGAGAGGUGAGAGGUACUUCAGGGGUAGGGGUGAAAUCUUGUAAUCCUUGAAGGACCACCAGUGGCGAAGGCGUCUCACCAGAACGGAUCUGACGGCAAGGGACGAAAGCUAGGGGCACGAACCGG